GUGGGGAAUAUUGCGCAAUGGACGAAAGUCUGACGCAGCGACGCCGCGUGUGGGAUGAAGCCUUUCGGGGCGUAAACCACUGUUGCCCGGGACGAACAUCCCCUUUCGAGGGGACUGACGGUACCGGGUGAGGAAGCACCGGCUAACUCUGUGCCAGCAGCCGCGGUAAUACAGAGGGUGCGAGCGUUGUCCGGAAUCACUGGGCGUAAAGGGCGCGUAGGUGGCUUGGUAAGCGUGUGGUGAAAGUCCGGGGCUCAACCCCGGAUCUGCCGUGCGAACUGCUGAGCUCGAGCAAUGUAGAGGCAGGUGGAAUUUCGGGUGUAGCGGUGGAAUGCGUAGAUAUCCGAAAGAACACCAGUGGCGAAGGCGGCCUGCUGGGCAUUUGCUGACACUGAGGCGCGACAGCGUGGGGAGCAAACAGGAUUAGAUACCCUGGUAGUCC
This 442-nucleotide ribosomal RNA is filed under the name uncultured Gemmatimonadaceae bacterium. Its description in RNAcentral is "bacterial SSU rRNA". It matches the Rfam family "Bacterial small subunit ribosomal RNA", at positions 354 to 796 of the family's 1533-position model. The record is from RNAcentral. Lineage: Bacteria; Pseudomonadati; Gemmatimonadota; Gemmatimonadia; Gemmatimonadales; Gemmatimonadaceae.